This 384-nucleotide unclassified non-coding RNA is filed under the name fungal sp. RNAcentral's name for it is "partial internal transcribed spacer region". The stretch from base 1 to 46 matches the Rfam family "Eukaryotic small subunit ribosomal RNA", at positions 1786 to 1831 of the family's 1831-position model. Lineage: Eukaryota; Fungi. The record is from RNAcentral.
AAGUCGUAACAAGGUUUCCGUAGGUGAACCUGCGGAAGGAUCAUUAACACGUAUCCAAACGUUAAAACUUCCCCCCGUGAACCUUCAUCCUGCUCUUGUAACCCGCGUAGUUCGCAAUCUCUGCUAAAUCAUAGCCCGGAAAGUUGUAGUGAUUCAGAGACCUCUGGCUAAUUGGAACAGCUACAAUAAGCAGUCAGUGUCGGAAAGUGUCAUUGAUUGUGCAAGGAUAGCGCUUCUACGAUUCCUGUAGACCGUACACUCGGGCAGGAGCUUUGCCAAAGGGUCCCCAUGCCCCCUAAUAACCCCACAGUUUAAUGUGAAGCUCAAUGUAAUACAUUGGGUAAAAAAACCGAACAACAGUUAACAAUGAAUAUCUUGGUUCUC